This 1050-nucleotide ribosomal RNA is filed under the name Triticum aestivum (bread wheat). RNAcentral describes it as "partial small subunit ribosomal RNA". The record is from RNAcentral. Lineage: Eukaryota; Viridiplantae; Streptophyta; Magnoliopsida; Poales; Poaceae.
AUGGCGAGCCCGCCGUCGCCGCGCCUGCUCUGCGCCCUCCUCGGCGACCGCCUCGGCGCGCUCUCCGCCAGGCCGCUCCUCCGCACCGCCGCCCCAGGCAGAGGGAACGCGAGGGUGACGUGCCAGGCCACGAGAACGCUCUCCAGCCUGGUGGACGCCCUCUUCAACAGGAGAAGUCGGGAUGACUCACUGGAAAAUAACCCUAGACGCCUACGACCUGGGAAAGUGUCUCCUCGUCUAACCGUCCCCAGUCAUAUACAGCGGCCUCCUUAUGUCAAUUCCCGUCAAAGACCUCAGAUGAAUGAUGGACCUGAAAUACAUGAUGAAAAAGGGAUUGAAUGCAUGAGAGCUUCUGGAAAGCUUGCCGCACAAGUUUUGAAGUUUGCUGGAACACUUGUAAAUCCAGGCAUCACAACUGAUGAGAUAGAUAAAGCGGUGCACCAAAUGAUAAUAGAUAACGGUGCAUACCCGUCACCUCUUGGUUAUUGUGGAUUUCCGAAGAGUGUUUGCACUUCAGUGAAUGAAUGCAUCUGUCACGGAAUACCAGAUUCUCGUCCACUUGAGGAUGGCGAUAUCAUCAACAUCGAUGUGACUGUCUAUCUCAAUGGUUACCAUGGUGAUACAUCUGCUACAUUUCUCUGUGGUGAUGUUGAUGAUGAAGCUAAGAAGUUAGUUCAGGUAACAAAAGAAUCUCUUGACAAGGCUAUUUCAAUCUGUGCUCCAGGUGUGGAGAUCAACCGCAUUGGUAGAACCAUACAGGAUCAUGCAGACAAAUUCAAAUAUGGUGUAGUUCAACAAUUUGUGGGCCAUGGGGUAGGGAAAGUGUUCCAUGCUGAGCCUGCAGUGCUUCAUUUCCGCAAUAAUGAAAAGGGCCGCAUGAUUUUGAACCAAACAUUUACCAUAGAGCCGAUGCUAACCAUAGGGAGCACAAACUCUACCAUAUGGUCCGACGACUGGACCGCGGUGACGGAGGACGGGAGCCUGUCAGCGCAGUUUGAGCACACGCUACUGAUCACCGAAGACGGCGUGGAAAUACUGACACAGUGUUAA